CACUAAGUGUCUGAAGCAAGUUGUGGUCUCUUAAACCACCUAAAGUAGGUUAGCAAUUACUCUUAGUG
This 68-nucleotide transfer RNA is filed under the name Paraleptophlebia submarginata. RNAcentral describes it as "tRNA-Lys". Lineage: Eukaryota; Metazoa; Arthropoda; Insecta; Ephemeroptera; Leptophlebiidae. The record is from RNAcentral.